Polyodon spathula (Mississippi paddlefish) is the source of this 195-nucleotide long non-coding RNA. RefSeq lists it as uncharacterized. The record is from RefSeq and is a predicted model, not a curated record. The transcript is spliced from 3 exons. Lineage: Eukaryota; Metazoa; Chordata; Actinopteri; Acipenseriformes; Polyodontidae.
UGCCUGGACCCCCAGGCCGGCCAGGGAGAGAUGGGCUUCCCUUAACAGACGCAGAGCCAGGACCGCCAGGGUUCCCUGGAGAAAAAGGUCCAAAGGGAUAUAAAGGGGAGCGAGGAAUUCCUGGAGAGAUGGGCGAGCCGGGAUACGAAGGGGAACCCGGGCCACAGGGGCAGAAAGGCAGAAAAGGCAUAAUGG